Long non-coding RNA from Aedes albopictus (Asian tiger mosquito), 1163 nucleotides. RefSeq lists it as uncharacterized. The record is from RefSeq and is a predicted model, not a curated record. Lineage: Eukaryota; Metazoa; Arthropoda; Insecta; Diptera; Culicidae. The transcript is spliced from 2 exons.
GUGCUCAUUCUGCACUUCGAAUGACGUGACAAAAGUCGAGUCGAACGUCUCACCCGAUUCCCGUAGUCGAAUGCGGUGAGAAGAGUCGGUGUGAGUGAACACCGAUGAACUCUCACCGCAUUCUCAUAGUCGAUUUUGAUCGACAAAUGUCGCUUUCAAGUGACGUUUGCGGGUGAGAAGAGUCGCAACCUCAGGAGGUGUCGAGAGCUCAAUCGACACCAAAUAAAAACAACAAAUUGUACAUAAUUGAUGAAAUCGUACCGACUGACUGCUGGAGAGGUGACCAAAUCCACCACCACUACAGCACACUCUUCGCGCUGUUCCGAUAGAAAAGCCUCAAAGUUGCUGUUACACCAGAAGCGUCGGAUGGCCGCUUAAUUCGGAAAUCACUUCUGCUCGCCGUUCGGAACCUGCAAAAUGUGGAACCGUGGACUUAAAUGCACUAUUUUUUUUUUCGAAUGAUAGCAUCCGCUUGCUGAAACUAAAGCGCUGACUAAGUUAGAGGGCUGUAUUGGCACAAAUGGCUGGCAUGAAAUUAGAGCAAAGAUCUACGUUUACUGUGUAAAGCCUGUCCACGUUAAAUUUCGGACACCGAACCGCUAGUAUUUCAAACAAUCCAGUGUCGAAACAUGCAAACCUCGAUGUUUCCCGUAUAAUUCAGAACCUAACUUCGAGAACUUACUUUGGUUGAUUCAAAUGUGUUCAUAUUCGACAGUUAUGACAUUUCCAAAAAAUGUGAUGAAAAUGGAUUUUGUAAAAUUGUGUUAAAUAUAUUAGAAGGUACAGUCCAAUAUCAUCAGAAAUGAACUCCAUUGUUUCAUCAACUAUUUCUGAAGUGGAUUUAUUUUAACGUACUAGUCCUGAAGAAUUACUUACGAGAUAGAAGAUGUUUGUUUUUAAAACCUAUAACAGGAUUUUUUGUACGUUAACAAAAAUAACAAAAUGGUUUUUCGCAUACUUCGUAAACCUUCGUAAACCAUAGAUGGAACCGAAGAAUAUGAAACUCUAGGACACAAAACUGCCACUCUAAAGAAGUUACAGGCAUCCUGAAACAAAAAAAAAUGUUCAAGUUUUGAUUUGUCGCUGUAAUUGUCAAAAAUCUAUCGAAUAACGUAAAUCUAUUUUAUAAUGAGUGAAAAAAUACAAAUUUCCUAAAUUUUGAA